GGAAUAUUGGUCAAUGGGCGAAAGCCUGAACCAGCAAUGCCGCGUGGGUGAUGAAGGCCUUCGGGUUGUAAAGCCCUGUCAGAAGGAAAGAAACAACCGGUUAAUACCCGCUCUUGACGGUACCUUCAAAGGAAGCCCCGGCUAACUCUGUCGCAGCAGCCGCGGUAAUACAGAGGGUGCAAGCGUUGUUCGGAAUUACUGGGCGUAAAGCGCGUGUAGGCGGCUUAUUAAGUCGGACGUGAAAUCCCUUGGCUCAACCAAGGAACUGCGUCCGAUACUGUUAGGCUUGAGUGUCGGAGGGGGUGGCGGAAUUCCCGGUGUAGAGGUGAAAUUCGUAGAUAUCGGGAGGAACACCUGUGGCGAAGGCGGCCACCUGGAAGACAACUGACGCUGAGACGCGAAAGCGUGGGGAGCAAAC
This 418-nucleotide ribosomal RNA is filed under the name uncultured bacterium. RNAcentral describes it as "bacterial SSU rRNA". It matches the Rfam family "Bacterial small subunit ribosomal RNA", at positions 358 to 773 of the family's 1533-position model. The record is from RNAcentral.